Molecule: unclassified non-coding RNA, 232 nt
Filed under: uncultured fungus
Lineage: Eukaryota; Fungi
Description: sequence contains ITS1, 5.8S rRNA gene
Rfam family: 5.8S ribosomal RNA (bases 184-232)
Source: RNAcentral
UCUCCGUAGGUGAACCUGCGGAGGGAUCAUUACUGAGUGAGGGCUCCGGCCCGACCUCCAACCCCAUGUGAACCGAAACCUGUUGCUUCGGGGGCGACCCUGCCGACGACUCCGUCGCCGGGCGCCCCCGGAGGUCUUCUAAACACUGCAUCUUUGCGUCGGAGUCUUAAUGAAUUUAAACAAAACUUUUAACAACGGAUCUCUUGGUUCUGGCAUCGAUGAAGAACGCAGC